Gorilla gorilla gorilla (western lowland gorilla) is the source of this 603-nucleotide long non-coding RNA. RefSeq lists it as uncharacterized. NCBI's taxonomy places the organism in Eukaryota, Metazoa, Chordata, Mammalia, Primates, Hominidae. The transcript has 5 exons. The record is from RefSeq and is a predicted model, not a curated record.
AGGUGUUGCAACAUAACAGUUUUAAUUGCUAAACCCUAGCUGCAAACCCAAAUCUCUGGAUUUAAUAAGAAUUGGGUGUGAAAGACUGUGAACAGUGGCAGUUUUCUGCUAGGUUUACCUUCUUUCCUGCUCUUGGUUGAGAUUUGCGGACCUUUGUAUCCACUGUGGUCUCCUUGGAACAAGCAACUGGAAAUUCUUCACACCAGCUAUGGCUGGUAGGAAUUUCGGGCCACAACUCAGGCUUCCAGACUCUGGACGGUAUUCCCAGACUCAGCUCCCUUCUGAAUUGGGAGAAAGAGAGAAAGGAAAAUACAAGAAGACCUAACCAUGUGGAUUAACACCCUAUAGCAUGAUCCAGGCCCACAGCCAGCUCUGUGUUUCCAGAGUCAUAAUGGUGAAGAGGAUGGUGACAUCCAAGGACAACUACAGGGCCUCUCUCCUGACACUGGCUGGAAUGCACUGGCGCAAUCGCAGCUCACUGCAGCAUCAACCACCUCAAGCAAUUCUCCCACCUCGUCCUCCUAAGUAGCUGGGACUAUAGACGCACAUCACCAUGCCCUGCUAAUUUUUGUAUUUUUUUGUAGGGAUGGCGGUGAGGGUUGG